RNAcentral lists this ribosomal RNA (465 nucleotides) under Vreelandella stevensii. Its description in RNAcentral is "partial 16S ribosomal RNA". It matches the Rfam family "Bacterial small subunit ribosomal RNA", at positions 338 to 795 of the family's 1533-position model. Lineage: Bacteria; Pseudomonadati; Pseudomonadota; Gammaproteobacteria; Oceanospirillales; Halomonadaceae. The record is from RNAcentral.
CCUACGGGGGGCAGCAGUGGGGAAUAUUGGACAAUGGGCGAAAGCCUGAUCCAGCCAUGCCGCGUGUGUGAAGAAGGCCUUCGGGUUGUAAAGCACUUUCAGUGGGGAAGAAAGCCUUGGGGCUAAUACCCUCGAGGAAGGACAUCACCCACAGAAGAAGCACCGGCUAACUCCGUGCCAGCAGCCGCGGUAAUACGGAGGGUGCGAGCGUUAAUCGGAAUUACUGGGCGUAAAGCGCGCGUAGGCGGUCUGAUAAGCCGGUUGUGAAAGCCCCGGGCUCAACCUGGGAACGGCAUCCGGAACUGUCAGGCUAGAGUGCAGGAGAGGAAGGUAGAAUUCCCGGUGUAGCGGCGAAAUGCGUAGAGAUCGGGAGGAAUACCAGUGGCGAAGGCGGCCUUCUGGACUGACACUGACGCUGAGGUGCGAAAGCGUGGGUAGCAAACAGGAUUAGAUACCCGAGUAGUC